GCCGGCGUAGCUCAGUUGGUAGAGCAGCGGUUUCGUAAACCGCAGGUCGCCUGUUCGAUCCAGGUCGCCGGCUCCA
This 76-nucleotide transfer RNA is filed under the name Nitrospiraceae bacterium. RNAcentral describes it as "tRNA-Thr". It matches the Rfam family "tRNA". Rfam says of the family: Transfer RNA (tRNA) molecules are approximately 80 nucleotides in length. Their secondary structure includes four short double-helical elements and three loops (D, anti-codon, and T loops). Lineage: Bacteria; Pseudomonadati; Nitrospirota; Nitrospiria; Nitrospirales; Nitrospiraceae. The record is from RNAcentral.